RNAcentral lists this unclassified non-coding RNA (201 nucleotides) under Hevea brasiliensis (rubber tree). Lineage: Eukaryota; Viridiplantae; Streptophyta; Magnoliopsida; Malpighiales; Euphorbiaceae. The record is from RNAcentral.
CUGGCUUCUUCAAAUACUCCUUAUGAAGACAUGGCAAUGUCCAUGUUAAAUCUAGGGUAUGGAUAUCUUUAACAGCCUCCAGUCGAUAAAUUUUACUAGCUUUCCAAAUACGUAAAUCAUACUGAGUGUUGUUCUCUAAUGGAUGACCAGCACGAACAUUACUGAAAAGCUCCACUACCCAAUCCUCUAAGGUGUCGAGGG